UACGGGGGGGGCAAGCGUUGUUCGGAAUUACUGGGCGUAAAGGGUUUGUAGGUGGCUUGCUAAGUCAGACGUGAAAUCCCUCAGCUUAACUGGGGAACUGCGUCUGAUACUGGCGAGCUUGAGUGCAGGAGAGGAACGCGGAAUUCCAGGUGUAGCGGUGAAAUGCGUAGAUAUCUGGAGGAACACCGGUGGCGAAGGCGGCGUUCUGGACUGCAACUGACACUGAAAAACGAAAGCCAGGGGAGCAAACGGG
Molecule: ribosomal RNA, 253 nt
Filed under: uncultured bacterium
Lineage: Bacteria
Description: partial 16S ribosomal RNA
Rfam family: Bacterial small subunit ribosomal RNA
Source: RNAcentral